UUUUUUUUUUUUUUUUUUUUUUUUUUUUUUGGAUUUUCAGAAAGAACAAAAAGUCCUUCUCAGUUUUCCAUCUCCCCAGUUUGCCUUUUUAUUCUUGUGAAUAAAUGUUCUUUAGUGUUUUAGGAGGAAAAAGCAAACCUAGAUUUUGAUAAUCCAGAAGAUUUCAGAUUAAUAAAGAAGCUUUGAAAGAAGACCAUUUUUCAAAAUUUUAGUGAAGUGUGAAUAUUUUUUGUCAAUGGCUUUCUCAAAGAGAAUGAAACUUUUGCACCAUUUUCAGAGUUUUUAUAGAGAUGCCAAAUUGAUAUAUUUACAUGUAAUGGAAACAUGAAAAAGUUUUAUUAAACAAUUGUUCAUAGCUGUGUAGACAUUUUAAUUCAGUUUCCAAAGCUCUCAAAGUGUAUUUUUGGAGUACGGAGUGGUAAUGGUUUGGGGUGUCACAAUUCCAAACGACUCGAUUGUCCAAAUACUUAGUUCUUUUCACAGGUAUCAGGUUUGUGUUAAACACUGUAUGUUAACUAUGACUGGAAUUCUGUGAUAUUUUGGUAAUAAAUGAAGUGGGAUCGUUGAGAUGUGGUGGUGUAGGGGUGAUGGUGUGUAACUCUUAAGCAGCCAUUGCUGAGUGAAGCACCAGCCAGGGCUGCAGCGACUGCCUCCUUCCUAGGUAAGCGUGGGCUGCCCCUCGCCAAGCUCUGUGCCAGGCCAUGGCCUUGACCCACACCGAGGGAAGGGAGACAGCCCAGCCCAGGGAUGGAAGGAAGGCACCAGGACACGCUCUGUGAGCCCUCCCCAAUGGCCCUCUGCCUCUGCCCAGAUGCUGCCCUCCCUGCCACCCAUGGAGACCCAGAGGCCCCUCUUCUCCAAGUUCAAAGGUUCAUGGGCCUCCUCUCUUGUCCCUGAGUGUAGGUCUGCUUCCCACACCUGAGCUCCUGGCCAUUCUGAAUAUAGAAGACACUAAUCUCCUUGGGUGAGGGAAAGUGAGUUCCAACUUGCCCAGAGGCAGGAUAGGGCACAAGGGUCUUGGCUCAGAGUCUUGGGUUUGAAUCCCGGCCCCAUCCCCUCCCCAGUGUAGUCAGUGUAGAUAAGCCCCUAACUUUCUCCAAGCCUCAGUUGUCCCCCCUCUGGGAAAUGGGCUUCAUAACACCCACCCCCUAGGAUCCUUGUGAAAAGGAAAACAGAUCAUGUAGGUAUUGCACUUAGCACAGUGGCUCUGAAUCCAGUGAGUGAGGCUGAGCUUGACAAAAAAACAGCAUCCCCCUGGCUCCCCUACACACAGUGGGUGCAGCUGAAGCCCAUGGACAUGCUUCUCCAGUAGGCAUGUGUGGCCUCUUCUGAAGUCACUGGGUUUUCUUUCUUGUGUGUAUGUGUCUUGGGUUUCUGCAUUGAUCUCAGAAUAUUCCUGAUAGUGGGGCAGGCUGGCACCCUCUGGGGAAGGUGUCCCCUGGGGGCUCAGACCUGCAACAGGGGCUCCUGGAGCCUCUAGGCAGCUCCUCAGGCACCAUCUACACCUGCGCACAGAGGAAGAGGAGGUCUGGUUGUCAGCCCUUCCCUGCCUCCCUCUCCCCCAGGGACCUCAUUAAAAAGCAGAUUCUGGAGUUCCCACUGUGGCUCAACAGGAUCCGUGGCGUUUUGGGAGCACUGGGUCACAGGUUUGAUCCCUGGCCCAGCACAGUGGGUUAAGGAUUUGGCAUUGCCACAGCGGUAGCUUAAGUUAAAACUACAUCUCGGAUCUGAUCCCUGGCCCAGAAAGGCCAUAUGCCACGGGGCGGCCAAAGACUGAAGGGAAAAAAAAAAAAGCAAAUUCUGCUUCAGCUGCUUUGGCCCCCAUCCAAGAGUUUGCAUUUCUGUCCAACCCCCAGGUGGUGCCAGUGCUCCAGGGAUCCACUCUGAGAGGCAAGAGGUGUAAGAGAGCCCUGGAAGUAGGGGUAUGCCACCCCAGCUCCAGGCCUGGUGCCCUGGACAGCUUCAAAGCCCACCCCCAACCCCAGAAUUCAGAGCUGAGAGCCUGAGCCUGUGUGGGGAGCUCUUGCCACCAGACUGCCCCAGCAGGGGCUAUUUUCAUCAUUCCGUUCAAGGCCUAAUGCCUGUAUCCUUUUGUCUUUGGGCUUUGGUUGGUUGGUUUGACCUCAAUUCAUCUCUAGCACAAUUGGAAAGGAUUUCUGGAAGAGAAGGGAGAAAAUCCCAGACAUCGGCGUUGUCGUGGAGAACCGUGGUUUCUGUUUAUGGUAGGAAGGACUGGGUUGUGCAGUGAGAGGUUUUUUACUGUGGAGGUGGGGGCAGUGCAGUGAGUUGGCCCCUUAUCCUCUUUCCUUUCCUGACAGGUGGCAGCUCUGGGCUCUAGGAAGCCACACAGACGUCCCGCAGCAAAAUUAAAGCUGGCCAGGGAGCAAUUCUCCCCAGUCAUGCCUUGCUUUGCCCACCUUGCCAUGAGAUUAUUUUAUCCCACCUGAGGGUUCAAAAGAACAGAGCAAAGACCCCCAUCCCAGGUGUGGAUGUGGGGCCCUCUGGGGUGUGACGUCAGAGCAGGAGUUAGCUGAACAGGAGGAUGUUCCAAGAAGCUGGGAAGUGGUGGUGGGAAAUGAUAGCUAUUAGCUGUUGGUCAUGCUGCCCACCUCACAGAGUACCUCCCUGAAGUUGAGGAAGGCCUUACUGUUGUCAUUGUCUGAGCACCCAUUUAUAGGUGAUGCGCUGAAGCCUAGCCAACUGGAAAACAGACACCAUUACACCAUUCGGUGCUGGUGAUUUUUUCUUUUCCCUCACCAGUUAGACAUAGAGCAUCCUGGGUUUGGACUGCCCCUUAGUUCUGUGGCUCCGAACUGUCCAUUGGGGGUUUCAGCCAGGGAUGGGCAGUCGGGUUUGGAGGGGGCAUGACGCCUCCUUAGGCAGGACGUCCUACAGGGGUGGGCAGGGGCUCAGGUGCCCGUGGGCACAUGCUGGGGGCCUGGACCCAAGCCCAAGCUCUCCAGGGAGUGUCCUGGUCACCCCAGAGCAUGUGAGGGAGAGAAUUUCUCUCAAGCCCUUGCAUCACAAGCACACAGUUCUUCCCCACCCAGACCUCUGGGGACAGUGUCCUCGGAGAGCCUAGGGCCUCACCUAACCUCUGCCAACCUGGGACAGAAUUUUAGGGACCCUGGUCCAGAAAGCAGCAAAAAUUUGAAGAUGGCAAUCACAGAGCAUUAAACAGAGCUUGAGGCCUUCUGAGUGUGGGGUCCUGUGUGACUGCCCCAGUCCCAUGCCCACAGCCAGCCCCCCAUCUCUGUUCAGGAGCUUUCUGGUUGUCUUUGGGCUUCUUGUAGAGUACAGAAUCUCGAAAUCCACCUUCCCCUUCGUUCCAAGGGCUGCCUUCUGUCUGACUGGUUUUUCUCAAAGAUGAAGGAUUUUUUUUUUUUUUUUUUUUUAGGGCUACAGCUGUGGCAUAUGGAAGUUCCCAGGCUAGGGGUCAAAUCAGAGGCGCAGCUACCGACCUAUGCCACAGCCACAGCAACUCCAGAUCCAAGACUCGUGCAUGGUAGCUCAAGCAACAUGGGAUCCUUAACCCAUUGAGUGAGGUCAGGGAUCGAACCCGAAUCCUCAUGGAUACUAAUUGGGUUCAUUACCACUGAGCCUCAAAGGGAACUCCAAAGUCGAAGGAUUUAAUGCAGGGCUGGAAGAGGCCGGGUGUGGCAGCUUCUGGGCCUUGGGAUGUGAGAGUCUGGGUCCCAGAGGAAACUGCAGCUCAGAGAGGCACUGGAUGUCAGGGAGAAGGGCCCCGGCUUGGGACAGGUCACUGAAGGGUCCUUUCUGGUUGGAGGGACCUAGGAUAGGAGGUGGGGUGGGUAUAGGGACAGGCGCUUGGCAGGGGAGCCCAUUUGGUGGCAUAGGCACGAAUACGCCCUUUUGUCUGUCAAGUGAAGCCUCAUGGAGAAGUCUGGUGUGUCAGUGGUGUAAACUACCAGCCCUUCCACACCAAACAUCCAGCCGCGGGGGAGUGCCAGGGGGCAGGGCAGAGCUGGGUCUCAGAAACAGUCUGUGCAGGGACUGGAGCUCCAGGACCACCAGCCCCUCAGGAGAGACUCUGGAAUCCAGGGGCGGCUCUAAAACUAAAGCUGGUGGUGGCUCAGUGGGUUAAGGACCCAGUGUUAUCACUGCAGUGGCUCGGGUCACUGCUGCGGCAUGGGUUAAAUCCCUGGCCCAGGAACUUAGGCAUGCCGUGGGCAUGGCCAGAAAAAAGAAAAAAA
RNAcentral lists this long non-coding RNA (4214 nucleotides) under Sus scrofa (pig). Its description in RNAcentral is "lncRNA (ENSSSCG00005021340.1)". Lineage: Eukaryota; Metazoa; Chordata; Mammalia; Artiodactyla; Suidae. The record is from RNAcentral.